UGAACGCUAGCGGCAGGCCUAACACAUGCAAGUCGAGGGGUAACAGUUCCAAGCAAUUGGAAGCUGACGACCGGCGCACGGGUGCGUAACGCGUAUGCAACCUACCUUUAACUGGGAGAUAGCCCGGAGAAAUCCGGAUUAAUAUCCCAUAAUAUUUAAGAAUGGCAUCAUUUUUAAAUUAAAGCUUCGGCGGUUUUAGAUGGGCAUGCGUGACAUUAGUUAGUUGGUGAGGUAACGGCUCACCAAGACGGCGAUGUCUAGGGGUUCUGAGAGGAUUAUCCCCCACACUGGUACUGAGACACGGACCAGACUCCUACGGGAGGCAGCAGUGAGGAAUAUUGGUCAAUGGACGAAAGUCUGAACCAGCCAUGCCGCGUGCAGGAUGACGGCCCUAUGGGUUGUAAACUGCUUUUAUAUGGGAAGAAACCUUUCUACGUGUAGAGAGCUGACGGUACCAUACGAAUAAGGACCGGCUAACUCC
This 481-nucleotide ribosomal RNA is filed under the name uncultured bacterium. RNAcentral describes it as "bacterial SSU rRNA". It matches the Rfam family "Bacterial small subunit ribosomal RNA", at positions 30 to 504 of the family's 1533-position model. The record is from RNAcentral.